RNAcentral lists this long non-coding RNA (3004 nucleotides) under Mustela putorius furo (domestic ferret). RNAcentral describes it as "lncRNA (ENSMPUG00000031705.1)". Lineage: Eukaryota; Metazoa; Chordata; Mammalia; Carnivora; Mustelidae. The record is from RNAcentral.
GAAUUUAUUUCCACUUCUGAAUGGGGAAGCGCCUUCAUCAUUGGGUAGUGGUAUGCAAGAACUCGAAGAGAUUUCAAUGAAUGAUUCAUUUGCCUGUGUUCAAUCUUACACAGUUCGUGGGGUAGGAUUUCAAAAUCCCCUUUGUUGCUGUGUUCUCUGCUCCCAAGGGGAAGAAAUGGGCCGGGCCAGAAGCAAGGCACCUUUCACUCCUUUGUGUCCUGCCCUCACCAGUGCAUUGACCUGGCAAGAUCUGAAUCUUCGAGCUGAUGGUUAUCAAAUGGCAUGUGAGGGUCCUGCGACAUGUUUUUCUGCAGCUUCUUCCUUGCCUGGGACUGUCUUCUCUGGGACCCUCCCUUCCAUCUCCUACGCAGAAUGGCAGAGCCAUUCCUCAAGUCAUGAGAACCCUACGGACAACAAAUGGAAAUACAAGGAAAGCUUGCCUGCUGCAGAGACAGCUAACCCAGUGCCUUUGGAAGACAAUGGGAGGCCCUGAAUAACUGGCUCUUCGGAAGAUUCCAGAUUGUAACUGGCCAGCCUUCCAGCUCCCAGAACACGGGCGGGAUCUGCUGAGCGUCAUCCUCUGGGCGUGCCCACCGGGGCCAUCAGCAGGGCGACCCCUCGAAUCGCUUGCUGUGACACAUUUCUGUCCAUCGCAUCCUGCUACAUCUCCAGCAAGCUGGGGCAGCUCCUAGGCAAGAAUUUCUGGCUGUUUGUCUAAAGCUGUGACAACUUAGCUGUGGCGUUUGGACAGCCCUGGGUAUGUCCAGGGACUGUGUGGGGAGGGAGGGAAUUCCCUCCCCCCCCCCCAGUAGUUCACAACCAAAUGGAUUUUUAAAUGUUCUAAUUCUUCAACGACCACAGCAAUCACCACAGGAACAAAAUCCAUAUCCUGCAGCUGUUGGGAGAGGUAGAGAGACAGAGAAGAGGGCUUGGCAAAAAGACAGUAAACCUUUGUUCUUCCUUCCUGCCGGGUCCGCACCCCUUCCUUCUAGUGUGAGCACCUCUGUUUUCACGUAGAGGAUCUCCCCUCUCUCUCUCAGUCCAUACAGUCUGGAUGAUAUAAGCCCGAGCACGAGGAUUUAGGGGUGGAGGCAAGACUCAGGCUUUGCCAGGCUGUGUGUCCUAUCUCCUUGGCCAUAGAGAUGAUUUCUGAGCGAUGGGCCUCUGACUUAGGUCAGGCCAAACAGAACCACCUCUGGUACUUCUGAUGGAAAUCCCUGGAAAUCACUUUAGGGGAUCCGAGAGGCUAAUCCAUAAGUCAGGAGCCGUGGGCAUUCCCUUUGUCAACAGAGAGGACUAUGGAGCUGAGAGAGAGUUGUAAUGACUUUGUUCGAGCUUAACAUCUGCCUGAACUUUUUAGGAUCCUGAGCCAAUAAACUCCCAUUUUUACGCAAAUCAAAGUCAGGUUUCCAGCUCUUGUGACUAAAAGAAUCCUGACUAAUGGAAGGAGUGUUUACACACUCAGACAAAGCACCUAGGACAGAAUGUUACAGUUUACAGAGGACUGGGAUUCCCCAUCCUAGGAAAGGGAUUUUCUGCUGUCAGUUAGGCUGGUACUUCCUCCUGACACCUUCUGUUAUGAUAAGCAAACAUGUUGGUGGUGACCCACUUUCUUGCAUCAGGUUGGGGGAGGGGUGCGGAUUUUUAGAGCCAGUUGAGUCCAUAUAUUUCAAUGCAGUAGGGUUGGCCUCCGCUGACGGGACAGCAUCCAUGGGUCAAUGGUGGCCAUUUCCCUCUAGGGUGAGUGAAUAGAGGAGCUGGGAAAUACCUCGGUCCAUCUGGUCCGGCUCCCUCACAUGAUAAAGAAGGACCCCGAGAAUGCUGACUGAAGCUGACCCCACAUUAGAAUUCAAGCGUUCCCAUUCUCACGCCUUCAAUCCAUGGGUUCUCUGGCCCAACUGCCAUAACCUGCUUCUCCACUGACAUAGGGACAGGAUGAUUGUCUUGAAGAGUGAGCCUGUAAGGCUCUGCUUAAAGUAAAAGUGCCUUAUAUACUAUAAAGUAUGAUUCGUUCAUUCCUCAAAUUGUUGGAGGCCUACCCUGUGCUCGGUACACAUGGAACAGUUAACAAAACAUGAACCCAGGCUCCUACAAAUCUUCUCUAUUGGCACGGGAAGGCAAUAAACAUCACAGAAACUAUCUGGGAAGUCAGAGGGAGUAAGUGUUUGGGGAAAAAAAUAAAACCAGGAAGAAACCCCAGGGAUACGGACGUAACCUGAGGAGAUGGGCAUCUGACUGAAGAGGUAACAGCUGAGCAACAGCCACCUCAGGGAGAAGAAAGGUUCAAUCCUGCAAAUGGCAGACGUAACCUCCAUGCAGGGGAGACAGCUGCCUGAGCCCGGGAGGUGGAAGGUAUAGAACAAAUCUUCCUUCUGUGAAGUCAUGGUCUCUUCACAUGCAUUCUACCUCCUACAACUGCUUGGCCAGCAAGUAAGCCGUGCUCAGAUACUUAACUGUUUGCACUUGGCCAGGUCACGAAGACAAACGGUAGAGGUGAGCAAAGAGAGAGAGGUGAAGAGUGAGGGGACUGUCCGCCUCUCUGUAGAGAGAAAUGUAGCAAUACCUCAUUUAUAUAUUUCCACCCAGGAUUUCUCUGCUGGGUACUUCUACUAAGAAAACCCUAUCAUUCGGGAUCUGUGCAGUGACUUGGCUACAAAAAUGGUCAUUUAUCGUCUGCAUUAUUUAUAACGGUUCAACAUUUGAAACAUCCUAAACAUCCAUCUGUGUGGAAUUGGCAAUUAAUUAUGGUAUUUCCACCAGAAAUUCCAGGAAUGGCUCAGUUUGGGCUGACUUGGUUCAUGGACCUAUCCUUGAACCAGCUGCUAUGAGCAGGAAGACAGAAAUCACUGUUUAGUAAGGAGCAGUUCUAUGCAGCCAUUAAAAAUUGCAUUGUACACACCCAGCCGUAUUUGUGGAAAUAGUAUGCACUUUAAAUGGGUGCAUUUAAAGAUACAUAUCUUUAACAAAAACAAAAAAGUGUAUUUAUUAACACAACAGAUUUUUA